CUGGGAGGAAAGCUUCCCCUCAGACACCACAACUUGCAGAGAGAGACCCGCGCUCACAGCGCCAGAGAAGAGACACCUAUUAUUGGGAACGUGGAUCUAAACAGUGCCAAUGGACGGACUGUGUAUUCAGAGAUGCAUCAUCCAGAUCCCUCUUCAAGGAAGGACCUGCUGCCCAGCAGUGUCAGCAGACCACCUCCUGGCAGCUUUUCCAGAGUUGGCCUCUGCUGAAAAGAGCUGUUUCCCCUGAGGUUCCUCCCUUCCCAGGGCAGCCUGCCUCAGAAUCAGGCCCCUUGUGAAACUCGAGCACAGAGGCUCUCAGUGAGGUCAACACCACAAACCUGGGCUCUGCAUCAGGUAUUCAGGUAAACAAGAUGGCUGUUGCCAUUGUCAGCCCUCACUGCGUCUAACACCUG
Molecule: long non-coding RNA, 413 nt
Organism: Rhinolophus ferrumequinum (greater horseshoe bat)
Lineage: Eukaryota; Metazoa; Chordata; Mammalia; Chiroptera; Rhinolophidae
Exons: 3
Source: RefSeq, a predicted model, not a curated record